UAACAACUCACCUGCCGAAUGAAUUAGCCCUGAAAAUGGAUGGCGCUGAAGCGGGCUGCCGACACCGUGCCGUCUGGGCGAGAAAGGCCCCAGAUGAGUAGGAGGGCGUGGCGGCCGUAUCGAAGCACGCGUGCAAACGCGUGUGGAACGGCCGCUAGUGCAGAUCUUGGUGGUAGUAGCAAGUAUUCAAGCGAGAUCCUUGAAGGGCGAAGCGGGGAAGGGUUCCACGCGAACAUUGAUUGGGCGUGGGUGAGUCGUUCCUAAGCCGAGUGGCGAUUGCUAAGUAGCGGCGAAAGGGAAGCGGGUUGAAAUUCCCGCACACGGAUGUGGACGCGGUGACGCGAGUGAUGGGGCGAAGACGCUGGCGACGGCGCUGGGCAGAGUUGUCUUUUCUGUUUGACCAGUUUGCGCGCGCGGUGUGGAAUCCGCUUGUCGGGAGAAACACGCGUGUGCGGGCAGAGCGCCGGGGCUUUUCCGGCGUCCAGCUCGCCGUCGACGGCCCUUGAAAAUUUGCCUGCUGAAAAUCUUUGAUUUGAAAUCCACGCCGUGGCGUACCGAUCACCGCAUCAGGUCCCCAAGGUGAACAGCCUCUGCUCAGUAUGAAUAAU
This 608-nucleotide ribosomal RNA is filed under the name Kappaphycus sp. 1A AARS-2009. Its description in RNAcentral is "eukaryotic LSU rRNA". It matches the Rfam family "Eukaryotic large subunit ribosomal RNA", at positions 1283 to 1899 of the family's 3401-position model. The record is from RNAcentral. Lineage: Eukaryota; Rhodophyta; Florideophyceae; Gigartinales; Solieriaceae.